CAGAAUUAUGAUGAUCUUGUGGAGAAUAUUCACCCUUGUGUGGAUGACUUCAGAUGAUUAAGACUACUAAACUCCCCUUCUAUUAUUUGGGCAAUUUCUUCCUGCAGCAGCUGAAAUGUUCCAAGAUAAUUUGAAGACAAAGCAAGCAGGGGCAUUAUUGAAUAGCAGCCCAGUCCCGUGCCCAAGCUGAGCCUCAUCCCGG
Myiozetetes cayanensis is the source of this 202-nucleotide long non-coding RNA. RefSeq lists it as uncharacterized. NCBI's taxonomy places the organism in Eukaryota, Metazoa, Chordata, Aves, Passeriformes, Tyrannidae. The transcript has 3 exons. The record is from RefSeq and is a predicted model, not a curated record.